UACGUAGGGUGCGAGCGUUGUCCGGAAUUAUUGGGCGUAAAGGGCUCGUAGGCGGUCUGUUGCGUCGGUAGUGAAAACUCAGGGCUUAACCCUGAGCCUGCUUCCGAUACGGGCAGACUAGAGGUAUGCAGGGGAGAACGGAAUUCCUGGUGUAGCGGUGGAAUGCGCAGAUAUCAGGAGGAACACCAAUAGCGAAGGCAGCUCGCUGGGACGGUACUGACGCUAAGGCGCGAAAGCGUGGGGAGCGAACAGG
This 253-nucleotide ribosomal RNA is filed under the name uncultured bacterium. RNAcentral's name for it is "partial 16S ribosomal RNA". It matches the Rfam family "Bacterial small subunit ribosomal RNA", at positions 524 to 776 of the family's 1533-position model. The record is from RNAcentral.